Molecule: ribosomal RNA, 371 nt
Filed under: uncultured organism
Description: bacterial SSU rRNA
Rfam family: Bacterial small subunit ribosomal RNA
Source: RNAcentral
CGUAGGGUGCAGGCGUUAAUCGGAAUUACUGGGCGUAAAGCGUGCGCAGGCGGUCUCGUAAGACAGGUGUGGAAAUCCCCGGGCUUAACCUGGGAACUGCGCUUGUAACUGAGAGGCUAGAGUGUGGCAGAGGGGGGUGGAAUUCCACGUGUAGCAGUGAAAUGCGUAGAGAUGUGGAGGAACACCGAUGGCGAAGGCAGCCCCCUGGGCUAACACUGACGCUCAUGCACGAAAGCGUGGGGAGCAAACAGGAUUAGAUACCCUGGUAGUCCACGCCCUAAACUAUGUCAACUGGUUGUCGGGGAAGCAAUUCCUUGGUAACGAAGCUAACGCGUGAAGUUGACCGCCUGGGGAGUACGGCCGCAAGGUUA